GACGAACGCUGGCGGCGUGCUUAACACAUGCAAGUCGAACGGAAAGGCCCCUUUGGGGGUACUCGAGUGGCGAACGGGUGAGUAACACGUGAGUAACCUGCCCUUGACUUCGGGAUAACUUCAGGAAACUGGGGCUAAUACCGGCUAGGAAUCCUUGCUGCAUAGUGGGGGUUGGCAAGCUUCGGCGGUUUUGGGUGGACUCGCGGCUUAUCAGCUUGUUGGUGGGGUAGUGGCUUACCAAGGCUUUGACGGGUAGACGGCCUGGGAGGGCGACCGGCCACAUUGGGACGGAGAUAAGGCCCAGACUCCUACGGGAGGCAGCAGUGGUGAAUAUUGCACAAUGGGCGGAAGCCUGAUGCAGCAACGCCGCGUGCGGGAUGACGGCCUUCGGGUUGUAAGCCGCUUUCAGCAGGGGCGAAGCUUGUGGUGACGGUACCUGCAGAAGAAGCACCGGCUAACUACGUG
RNAcentral lists this ribosomal RNA (465 nucleotides) under uncultured bacterium. RNAcentral's name for it is "partial 16S ribosomal RNA". It matches the Rfam family "Bacterial small subunit ribosomal RNA", at positions 28 to 507 of the family's 1533-position model. The record is from RNAcentral.